CAUGUUCUGAGCCCGUAACACGUGCCAGGCUCUGUCCUCAACCGUUCCGUGGGCCACCUCACUUAGUCCUCACCACCGCCCUGCGAGGCAGAGACCGUUGUCACCUCUACUGUGCAGAUGAGGAAACUGAGGCUCAGAGAGGUGAUGUAACUUCCUGAGGCCACAGGGAACCCCUACCUUUCAUGUUAUGUCAAUAAACAUCUGUGCGAUAGGCGGCUUGUGACAUGGCCCCAACAUAUCCACCUUUGGCCUUCCCCAAACGCCUGGGCCUGCGAUUCACAAGAAAUUGCUCAGCCAAAUUGAAACUUGACCCUCCUAACUCAGUCCCGUUCGGAUCAGCGACAAGUGCCACCACUGACGCCUGGAGUCCCAGCUCCCCUGAAGCACAGAUCCCCGUGUCCCUCCUGCACAGGGUCAGGGAAAGAGCAGGGACUCGGGUCAGCCGGGCCUGGGCUCACACCUGCCACCAAUGAGUCGAGUGACCUGGGACAAGGCAGUUCAUCCCUCGGGGCCCCAAACUCCGCACCUGGGGGACAGAGCGAGGGAUGAUGGAGUCCAGCAUGUGCACGGCCCUGCACACAGUAGGUGCUCAGCAAAUGUCAGCACCCCCCCCCCCCCCGCAAAGGCGGGCAAACUGUAAGCUGCAUCCAGUCAGAGCUUUUGAGUGAAUCCUCUAUCCAGCAAGCAGCCUCACCCCUCCCUCCGAGCCCCCAGCCCGGCCUCCAGCCACCACUGCCCCCCUGCUCCCGGCAUAAUUUGUGCACGUUCUGUGGGGUCGCUCCAUUAUUACACAGAAUGAAUCUUUCAGGAUGUUUAAAUUCCGAUCUUUUUUCCUAAUUCACCCACUCCCGAAGAGAAAUGGCCGCGUUUGGCAAAGGUCGCGCGUAAAACACAGAAGGGGGGACAGGAAGCGGAGGCGAGGACCGGAUUAAGGAGCAGGUACCAUCCAUUAGGGGGAUCACGGCGCUGUCCUCCCUGGGAGCACGUGCUCUUCCGGGGCCGCGAAGCCGAGCUGCAGCUCCGAGCAGGAGCGCUUCUUCCAGCAGUGACGUGAGUUCAGUGCAUUGAGCACCCGCUUCAGGGUCCCCCCUCCCCGACACCCACACGUCAGCCCCGCACGAGAGCGUCCUCAUCCCUGCUGCUGGGACACAGUCACUGGGAAGCGAGGGUCCCGCCCAAGUCUGCACGUGGCAGUGAGAGGUGGCACCAGGAUCCAACCCAGGCUGCUGGCUCCCAGGCCCCUGCUCCCGUCCCCACUCCCCUGCUCCCUGGGAAAGCGGGGCAGGGGCGGGGGCGGGGACUCAGUUACAGCAGGAGAGGCGAGCAGAGGAAUCAGCCCAAUCCAGGCGGACACCCACCGGGGUUUGGGUUCGGCCUUGGCUCCAGAGGCCUUAUGUACCGGCCGUAAAACAAAACCGAAACAAAACCCGUUGAGAAACGAGUGCGGCCAAGUGGGUGUUUGGAAGCGGGAGCCCCGGGAGCACAGUGACAGCAAGGGGUUCUGCAAGGAGCCACGUCGGUGCCCCCAGCAGCGCCCACCAGCCCGGGACCGGCCCCCCGACCCUCUUCUGCUGCUGCGUCCUGGCCAGGGGACGACUCAAGGGGACAGACUGAGUCCGUGUUCAUCCCCCUCCGCACCUCCUUGCCUUCACCCGUGCUCUGUGCUCUGACGCCGUGAAACCAGCGCCCCGAAUCCUUCUGACUUGCUCCAAUGUUCUGGUGCUGGACUUCAUCCCCAGAUGGUUCCGCGCGGCGAGGGCCGGGUGCCGGCUGCGAGCGGAGCCUGUCUUUUCUGGUGAUUGUUCCUGACACGCUUUAGUUUGCCCGACUUCCCUGCCCCGCCUGGCCGAUGGGGUCCCAGGCGGCCGGCAGCUGCCCUCUGUCCCCAGGCCGUGCCUGCAGCUUCACCCCACAGGAACCCCCCAACACCACAAGAACACCACGGGCCGCUCCCCGAAUCCUCCUGACACGCUCACGGCUCCAGAUUUUGCACAAGCUGCUUCCUUUACCGGGAGUCCUUUCCACGUCUUCUCCAUCUGGAGAAAUCCCGCGCAUCCCCCAAGGCCAAAGCACUGAGGGAGGGAGGGAGGGAGGGACCUCACCCAUUCGGCCCGCCGGCCACGCGCCCAGGGCCAUGCGGUGGGAAGGGGGGCACUACUCACAGUGAGUCCCCCUGCAGCCCGGGCGCCAACCACAGAGUGCGCCUCACUAGCCCAUUUUACAGACGGGGAAACACUGAGUUACUUAUUCAACGUCCCCCAGUGGUCGGCAACUCGGACCAAGUCGGCCGACACACAGACCAGCCCUGUCCACGCACCCCUGGCUCUGGGAGCCAUCCUGACCCCUGAGAGGGGGCUCCUCUCCUCCUUCUCUCCGGCACCGGGCAUCAUCGAGCGCUCGAAUUCUCCUUCCAUCUCCGUGGUUCUCAGGCUCUUUCCCUCCCUGCCUUGGUGAAAUGAGGUGGGUUGAGCGUCCCCGUGGCCCGGUGCCAGGCUCCGCCCUGGAGGAAGACACCCCUCAGCCCGAGGGCCGAUCCCAUCCCUGUGGCCAGGAGAAACAGCUUGCGCGAUGAUGUCAGGUUCACCAGUUUCCAUAUUUAGCUCCUGGUUGGGGGCGGGAUGGCAGGGAAGUGGGAGGCAAGAAGUGUGCAGGGUGGUGGGCGGGUCACGUGGGGGUACAUUUAGGCUCAGUAUCAGCAGAGGUGCUCAAAAAUCUCCCGGCAGAUUCCUCUGCCAGGUGGUGAGCUCCCCGUCCCUACAAGGGUUCAAGUUAUUGCAGGGCAGUGAAGGGAGAGCGUCCCGUGUAAGGAAGGGGGGAGUUACACCAGCAUGGCUCUCUGGGCUAAGAUUCUGAUCUCAGGCUGUCCGUUUCUACUCCACGUGUCCCCCAGUGGUCGGGGGAGGGGGGACGUUGGGGGAGGGGGGUUCCAGAUCUUCUCCAGAGAUUCCUUCAUUCUCGGACCGUCAGGCCUGUGAGUCCACGGCUGAUUCUGUGAUUCUAGAAUUCUAGGAUUCUGUGAAAGGGACCAGAUGCUCACAUUCUGUGAUUCAAAGGUUUUCUGAAAGCGCCUUGGAGUCUAUGAAAGACGCUGUGAUUCCCACUCCUGUGCGUCACAAGUGCCGUGAAAGGACUGGCGGAUGUGAAAAUGGAAGAAGGUUCCGUGACCCUCGCCCGCCCGCGUCCGCGUCUGCAGAGGGAGGACCCUGGGCCCCUGACCCGCAAGGUCCUCUCCGCGCUCAGUGUGGGUCUCCGGGGGCCCCUGACCCCACGCGCCCCGUCUCCUCACCUGACUCUCCGCCCCCCCCCAGGUCCCCUCAUGCCGAGAGGGUACAAUGGGUCCUGAAGCCCCAGGUGACAGAGCCGGUGGGGCCAACACCUGGGCGGACGUGCUCACAGACGCACACAUCUCUGUUCUCGAGUCAUUUUCCUGCUGGGUUGAUUAUGAGGCGCGUGGUGGGGACGCAGCCUUUGCUAAGUGGAAUUUUCUGGUGCAUCUCCUUCAGUACAAGCCGCUUGGGGAUGGGAAUCAGGAGCCUGCUUACGUUUCAGUCCUGUUUGUUUUUCCUGUCACCCUGCCCCACUGUGGAGGUCUCUCCCCGUUCACUGUUCAUCUGGGGGGGCUCUCCGUGGGCUCUGAGCAGUGGCCGCCCUGAAGGUUCAGCUGGGUUUCUCGGGAAAGGAACAGGAUCCAGGGAGGGAAGAAAUGGAGACCAGGCAGGUGGGGCUGGAAUCCUGGAGGAGGCCGGAUAAUGGUCCGUCCUCCAGGAUGGCCCAGGGGCCCCUCCUCACCCACCAGGAAGCCUGGGGUCUCUGGGCACCUGCAGCAGAGGGACCCCAGAGCUCAGAGCCCAGUAGACUUGGCCGUGGGGUUUGGGACAGUCCCUUCCCUGAGUCCCAGGAGCCUCCCUGGAAAUAUCCUGAGCUGGUGGGGAGCCUCUGUAGCCCUGAGACACUGAUUUGGUGGAGGCUACUCUCCAUCUGGACAUUCCCCACCCACCCCCCUUUAUUGUGGAACCCCUCCUGGCCCUGCAGGGCCCUGCUCAGAUGCCCCCUCCAGGCAGACUUCCCUACUCUUGCAGGGGACACCACAGCAGCCUUUGCUCCUCUCCAUAGAUGCCUUCACACUUCCUAGUGCUGUGUGCUCAACACCGGUUUCUCUGCUCCGCUGGAGCACCGUGAAGCCCCGAGAGCUGCGUGGCAUCCCGCGUGACAGAGGAGGUGAGUGGGACACACAGGGGAGCAGUGGCCUGUCCUCGAUCCCUUAGCCACAGACAAGGCCAAGGUGGACCUCCAGGGAUCUCACAUGUGGCUCACGGGCCUCCAGUGUCUCCAAAGCUCCAAAGUUUCUCUGGUUUCUCCAUGCUUUGACCGACUCCACCGUCCACCUCCCUUCAGAUUGACUCGAAAUAGGCUCCCUUUUCAAUUUGUCCUCCCCUAAGCAGUCUUCCCACAUCCAUGGUCUCAGUCAGCCUUGGUCAACUGCACUCUGGAAGCCAGAUGAUCCUCCUUCCUUUCUUUUUUGUUAAGAGAAUGUGAGCCAGGGAGAGGGACAGAGAGGGAGGGAGAGAGAGAGAGAGAGAGAGAGAGAGAGAGAGAGAGAGAGAGAGAGAGGG
This is a long non-coding RNA of Felis catus (domestic cat), 4613 nucleotides long. RefSeq lists it as uncharacterized. The transcript has 3 exons. NCBI's taxonomy places the organism in Eukaryota, Metazoa, Chordata, Mammalia, Carnivora, Felidae. The record is from RefSeq and is a predicted model, not a curated record.